Gallus gallus (chicken) is the source of this 9504-nucleotide long non-coding RNA. RefSeq lists it as uncharacterized. Lineage: Eukaryota; Metazoa; Chordata; Aves; Galliformes; Phasianidae. The record is from RefSeq and is a predicted model, not a curated record. The transcript is spliced from 4 exons.
GCCGGCCCCGCGCGUUCGCAGGGCUGGAAGCCGGGCACGGUCGGGGACAAAGCGCGGCGGGCCCCGGCCAGGCUCCCCCCGGCCCUGCGCGGAGACAAAGGCAGCGCGGGGAGCCGCGUCCCCGUCCCCGGGAUUGCAUCAGAUGCCGCCUACCUUGCGAGGAGCCGCGGGGACCCCCCCGGCGUGCAGCGCAGUCUCUCCCGGCGGCGGCGGGCUGGAGCAGCCCGGCGGAGAAUCGUACGGAGAAUACGAUUAAAAACAAAAUAAAAAGAAUCGGGAGGAGGCGAGAGGCCGGAGGAAAUGAAAUUGGAGAAAGGAGGACGGCGAGGGAGAUGCCGCUCCUCCCGCCGCGGGUGUGUGCAUGUGGAGGUGGACGGGCGGCGGGAGCGCGCGGGGCGCGCCGCCAGGUGCCGGGGCCGCGGAGCCCCCCCGGGCCGCCCCUCGAAGCGGAGCUGCGCGCUGCCCCCCGGCCCCGCGCCCCCUCCCCGCCGGGCACGCACACACCACACACCGAGCCGUGCCUCUCCGGCACCGCCGCCGCCACCACCACGUUUCUGACUCUUUUUAUUUUUUAUUUAUUUUUUUUUUUUUUAACGACAAAAAUCGUUUUUCUUUAGGUUUGCUUUCUUUUAGCCCUGGGGUUCGCCCAAAGGUUCCUCGCCUCUUCUGGCAAGGAGGGCACAUUUUUUGUGGAGCUGUUCCCCGAAAUGGCCACGGAAGAUCUGGCAUCGUCAUUACCGAUUUCCUGUUUCGUUAUGCAAAAUGUAUAGAGUGGAAAUGCAGCAGUUGGUGCCAGAGGUCGAAGCGUUCUCAGCGGGGGAAAGACAUGGUUUUCAGACAUAAGAGGGGGAUUUACUGCACGGAUGAUUUAUUGUAACUUCUUGUUUCCAGAGUUAUCUCUAUAAAGUACUUUAGGAGCUUUCCAGCAUGGAAAAAUUCCACCAACUUUUAAGAACAAGCCCGAAGCAAGAUGGCUUUGUGGCUGACAAGAGAGACUGCAGGCCCUGGUUCCACUCUGCAGCACAUGGCCUGCACAGGAUGUCCCAGGGCAAAGGGGAGAAGGAUGCUGAGAGCACGCCUUGGUAAGCUAGGAGACCUCUCAGAGUUUCCUAAUUGUCAGGCCCAAAGGCAGACGUUGCACGUGAAAAACUGUGUUUUUCAGAUCUUUACAUGCACAAGUUUGGUUUCCUUUAUGAUGAUUACAGUGCCUUUUUGUUUUCACUACGGGAGCUCUUUGGAUGUGAAGCACACUGUGCUAGCGGUGGGUUAAUUCACCCCAUUGCACCCAACAAGGACGGGAGCUGAGCACCCUCCAGGUAAUGGGAAUUGAGCAGAAGGAGCUGCCCAAGGUCACUGAGCCAAGGGCUCCACCAACACUCCCUCAUGUGCAGGAACCUCUCCCAGUGCUCAUGUGUGGGGCCUCAUCAAAACUUCAGUCAAGGACAUGGGGUCACCUCCAAGGCAGGGGCUCGGCUCUGGGUCCAGCCCUGUGUGCAAGGCACCAGACCCUGCCAAAAUGCAGACCAGAAAGUACAUGCCACCCUCACUCAGUAAGAUGUAUUUCUAUCUGAAGUCCUCCAAUUAGUAAAUCAGAAUGUACAUUUUAUAGUGCAUGGGGUCAGGCAGUACUGGAGUAGGGAGCUGAUCGUCCUCAAGCACUGUGUUCAGUUUUAGGCCCCUCACUACAAGAAAGACAGUGAGGCCCCGGAGCACAUUCAGAGAAGGGCAGUGAUGCCGUGAAGGGUCUGGAGCACAAGUCUUAUGCAGAGUGGCCAUGGAACUGGGACUGUUCAGCCUGGAGGAGUCUCAGGGGAGACCUCAUCCCUUUCUGCAACGACCUGAAAGGAAGCUGUGGCAAGACCCACAGCCUCCGAAUGUUCUUCAGAUUAUAUUUCCGCUGCCUAAAAUGCAUCAGCAGCCAUGCUCAUUUCCAGAACGGCUCUCUGAAGUACAAUGUCCUUUCCAGAGCCUGGACAAUUCCCCUCUGAGCUGUCCUCCAGCACUUACUAACUUAAACUUAAUAGAAACCGCAGGCUCCCAGUGGCAGCUGUCAUCACAGCAACGAAGUGAUUAGAUCUGCUCUGUUGCCUAAUCACAGGACGAGAUGUGGCAUGCAUUCCUGCAAUCUGCUUAAGUACUCCCUAUCCGGAUCCUCUGAUUUCAAGGAUAGUCUUUGGGAAAUUAUCUUUAGAGUAAAUCAUUUUUUUUUUUUUAAGUGCACUUGAUUAAAGCGAGGCAUCUAUCAUAUCGCAGAAUUAUUGAUUAUGAUAAGCACUUUGAACUUACCCAGUGUUUUUCAUCUCAGAAUCUCCUAAUAUUUUGUUGCAAGUGGAAAGGAUUAUUAGUCCCACUGCAGAUUGAAAACUUGGAGGAAAACUGAGACUCUACAUGAUUCACUGAGGAUACUCUAUCACAUGGUGGAGCAGGACCAGUGAGCUCAUGGCUUUACUGUCCUUGAGGGGGUCUACAAGUGAGAGGCCUUUUGUUGCAUUUGUUUAGGAUGGAAACCAGAAGUCUUCCCUGCAGAUUUUGGGUUCAACACAGUUUCCAGUGUGAUUCUGCACCUGUUUUCUGCUCGAGAACCACUGCCUUCUGUACAGGAACCGGGAAAGGAACUAAGUAUUACAAGGGGGAAGGCAUUUAAAAAGACUGUAUACAUCUCACUCAUCACUCAUACUGAUGAUCUUACUUGACCAUCAGUAUAUGCUUCUGUUGAGAUAUGUCUACCUUCGUGUCAAGUUUUGGGGAUGGAAAGCUAAAUCUUCUCCCUAACCAGUGCCUGUCUUAAUGCCUUUCAGCAACUGUGUAUUUACCUACUUGAAGAUGUGCUGCAGAGCUGUGGGCCUGUAUCCAUCUUCUGCGCCUGUUCUGGUCUGGGACAUGUGGUGUGACCAGAAUUGGACAUCCAAUCCCUUCCUUGUCCCAGCACCUCUUCUUUUAAGUGAGGUUUGGCUGGAGGUGCUGCUCACAUAGCCACAUUCUGCGUACAUUCUCACAGCAGACAAGAUAACGGUUAUCACUGGAGCAUACACAGCUCCACACAUCAGUAGAGGCCCUUCACACCAGAAAAGGGAUUCAGUGGUUCCUACUGCUUUAUCUCAUCUGCACAUCCCUCCUACUUUUCCAUCUGUUUCACAUCCCGUAGUCAGGAGCUGAAGAAAGUAAGUAGCAUUCUAACAAAGUUGGAUCAGAAGAGAAAUGUGGUAAAAUUUAUAAGAUCCGUGUAGAUGGUUAAAAGUUGGUUCAAAAGAAGUUAUUUAAAAUUAUCCCCACACUUGGGGAAGCUGGAAAGGGUCACUUAUUUCCCCCCCACUCCAUGCAAUUUUUGGUCAAGUACCAGGAAGCCACAAAACUGAACAAAAAAUCCAGUGGUCAAAAGCAAAGGGCAGUGACUGCAACUGCACUGUCCUCUCCUCCUCUGGACUGGUGGGCCCUCCUGAUGGCUCGACAGAGAUCAGCCACGGUCCUCGCUGCUCUUCUCUGGAUCAAGGGAUCUUCCUGUGCUGAAACCCAAACCAGGACUUUAAAUAAAAGAAAAAUCGGGCUUUGGGGCGUGCCUACUACCUAUAGUAAGAAAAAACCAAACAAACAUAGCAGCAUGUGCUACAGAGAAACAAGGAACUAAAAGCAUGGCAUACCAGAACUUGUUUCACUUACGCAAUUCUGUUUGAAAACGUUCUGGCUUGAGCCAAGGGGUGAGUGAUAGCGAAUUGAUGGGAACCUCACCCUUCUGCUGGUAAAUAUUCAGCGAGAAGAGAGGUGGAGUCCAUAAACAAUCAAAAAAAGCUCUCCAAGAUUGCAGCAUUAUUAAAUUAUUACAGUCUGAGCAAUUUUUAAGCAGUGCAAACAUUUGCUUUCCAUUUCAUGGCUGGCUGUUGCUGACGACGUACGCGGUCUCUGUGGACACAAGAGCCCCCCCACUCUGUGUUUGCUUUUUGGUUUUCACGCAAGAGGAGGCUCAGCGCCCGCGUGUAGCAUUACAUGCACAAAGCUAUUUGCUUUUCUCUGACGUUCAGGUAGUUUUAAAUGGUAACUGUUGCUUUACAUUUAAUUUCUCAGGUAAGUUAAACAAACACGUGCCACUGACAACAAACACCGCUGCUCAUGGCUCAUUAAGUCGUGUUUCCGAAGCAGGUAAUCCUCUGCCUGAACACACAGCCGCAGUGGGGUUUAUGAGCUGUGCACUGUGAAGAGGAUGGGAGCACAACCAAAGGCCUCGGUCUUCAGGACUUCUGCAAGCAGCAAUACUUCGCCAAUUCAAUCUCCAGUUCAAAAAAUGUCUGUAUUAAAAUUCAUGGAUUUUCUCCCAUACCUUUUUCCUUCUAUUUCCCCCUUUCCCCUUUAUUAAGGGCCAGGGUCUGCCACAGUAAGGGUGAAGUGACAUUGUUCUUGUGGUGAAAGUGUUUGUUUUCUCCAAUGCCAGUGAUACAAAGGUAUUUAAUGCCUUGCACGUGGCAAAUGUUGAUACACUAACACUUGAACUAUUUAUAUCCUCAUCAUGCUGCUGCAGUAAAACUUGUCCUUUAGUUCGUAGUCCUGUGGCUUAUUUUGUGUUAGCAUACUGCCCUACAUGGCAGUAACACCGGAUGGUGCAUGCUGACAGUGUGCAAGCCAAGGUGUGUAGGCAGACAUAGCAUCAUGCAAUCACAGAAGCAUUGGAGUCCCAUAAAGCAAAGGACUCAUAAAUGUCAUCUAGUCCAACAGAGGGACACCUACCAAGUCAGGCUGCUCAGAGCCCUGUCCACCUUGACCUUGAAUGACUCCAGGGAUGAGGCAUCUACCACCUCCCUGGACAACCUGUUCUAGCACUUUGCUACCCUUAUUAUGCAAAACAAAUAUUUCUUAUUUCCAAUCUAAAUCUUCCCUCUAUAAGUGUUGCUUCCAAGAUAAGCGUCGCUUCCAAGUUUAAGGAAUAUCACCAAACAAGACCAAGUUUUGAGCUCCCAGUGCCAACUUCAAGUAUUACGUAGAAGCAAAAUUCCAAGCUCAGCAGAAGUGAGAGCAGCUGCUCGCAGCUGAGCAAGGCAUGAGUGAGUGAGUCUUCAUGAGGGAAGAGGUGGCACUGGGGCAGGGAAGUGCUGGGAGGUCUCCUGAUGCAUCAGCUGCGCAAUGGGAGUGUGGAAGGAGCAGACGUUGUAUUGUAAUGUGCACUGGAGUUCAGGUUCAUAGCAAACUUCAUUUGUUGCUUCAAUACCAGACCUGCAGAAAGGCUUCCGCUCCUUAAAACUUUCUUCUAUUUCCUUUUUUAAAAAAAUUAUUUCUUUCUUUUUGUAUUAUACUAUUUAAUCUACAGAAAGAUAUCAUUUCUACCUGCAAUUCUUGCCUCAUAAUGUUAUGUGUUUUUGUUGUUGUUGUUGUUUUUGCUGCCUCUUAACACACUUUAAAUACACAUUGAACGCAACUUACUUUGACCUGUGAUAACAUGAUCUAUUUUCUCAUUUCACAGUGUGUGAAGGGCACAGUAUACUCUUGUGGCAAAAUACUUUGAGGAAAGAAACAGAACUGGAUGACGAUUCUUGCAGAGCACUCCAGACUUGGGAAUAGACUUUUCUGAGAACAUCCCACAGCUGCUCUGCAGUUUUUCCAGCGUCCUUUUGAAGAUGUGUGGAACAAUUUCAGUGUUAGUUCUUCGACACAGACAUUGAAAACUCUUUAGUUGAGCUCUGUUUUCCACAUCAGUUUAGGUGUGUCCAGGGAGUUAGGAGAAGGCCUCAUGCCCUGAGCAUAUGCGCUGGCCUGUGACCACCAUCAUUCUUCUCAGUUGCAUUCUCUCCCAAGAACAUUUACCCUGCUUGUCACCGCCCUGUCCCAUGCCCAGCUCCUCAGAGGGGACUGGAGCAGGGCCUCCAGGCGACGUGGUGAGACCAGGCCUCAUGUCUGCUGCAGGGACUGCUGGGGCUGCAGCAAGUAGCUGCACUGCCAGCACAGUGUACCAAACAAGGUGAUCCUAUGAAACAUGCAGGAGCAGUAGUGCCUGCUCCCCAAGUGGUAUUUAUCUCAACACGAAGCAGAAUCCUGUCUGACCGCAAUCACCCCAGUCCUGUGACGCCUGAGCACUUGGGGAUACCCCCAGCACCUCACUUGCUUCUGCUCCACUGUUCUGCUGUGCUCUGAACUGUUUGCAGAGGGUUUAUAAGAAACAAGGGCCACAGGAGGAUUGUUGCCAACACUGUGCUUCCAUUCCAUGACUCGUAGUGAAUGUUUAUGCUUUUGUUAGUACCUAUCCAACAUGCAAUACCUAUUAGUUUAUGUUUUGCAAGUGGAAAACCUUACUUUUUUAAUACAUGUAAGUAAUAACUAAAAUAAAAAUGCCACUUAUUAUUUAAAUAACUUAUUCAAGCAUAGUUACUGAUGGCACCUAGUACAGCGAUUACCUGACAUUCCUCUUCCUGGACCAUAUUUCUGUUCUUUUAAACUUUACCUAACUUCAGCUGUUUGUCCUUGCAGUUUCAGUAUGAAAACAGACAUUUCAAGACACGACUGCUGUUUGCAGGUGGCCGGCUUGGUGCUUAGGGUUCUUCUUUCAAGAAUGAUGAUCACUGAAUACCUUUAUCUUACAUCUCUUAGGGUUAUGCUUUGGACACACAUAAAUAAACGCUGAAAUACAAAAUAAGAGCAUGCAGGACAUUAAAUUGCGUGCUCAGGUGCACGGCUGCUUCACAGCACUGUCUCCUCAAGUGUAGCCUGAUUAACACCUUCUCACAGGCCCGAAACACUGAGAAAACCAAUAACCGCUUACGUUUUUACAAAGCUGACUUUAAAAUGAGAACUGGAAAGAAACGAGGAAGUUCAUCACUCAUCAGAAUGGGCUUUAGUCACUGAGAAACACAUAAAUGCUGUGAAUGCACAUGAUAAAAAAUAACAAGUAGUCACUUGGUGGGGGUUGCAGCAAGAAGCUCUGUGUGACCGUGUAGCUAAAGCAAACUUAGCUGAGGAGUUUCCUAAUUUCAGGGUGCUCAGCUAUACAUCUUUAGUAGCCCUUUCAUAUAGCGCUUUGUUGUACACACAGCACAUCGCAUUACACCUUUGGCAUCUUUCUUUCAAACCUAAUUCUAGUCAGGAAAGAGGGAGACUCACAUGAAUUGAUGAGAAUUUCCAGAUAACAAAGAACUGAUGUAUCACACUUCUAUUUCAGCCAUUGGAUAUAAUUUAAUAUAAACAGAAGUCUCAGUUCUGGAAAUGUUUAGAGAAUCAUAGUAACUACCCUGGAGAUUUAGCUGCAGGCAAACAGCAGCCACUCAUUUAUUGCACUCAAAUGAGACCCAACAGAAUGUCUGUGGCUAUUGUUGCCCAUAAUGCAAGAAGUGACACAGAGGCUGCUGGCUGAAUUUAAUCCCCUUUUCUUUGGCAUUCAGACUUGCUCUGUAUACUUCAGGAGUUUCAUAAAUUGUAGAUUUCAGCGUAUGCAAUUCCAACCCCUUCCCCCCCACACACUUAGAAAGUGCUCACAGAUCUGUAAACCACGCAUGAAAUUUAAGAUGCGAUACCUGCUUUAUAGAAAAUCCUUCCAAUGUCUCCCCCCAAAACCAGGACAACAUCGCUUAGCAUUAUCUGUUUAUUUAAGUUCAGUUAAAACAAACAUACAAUGUUUCAUUGAAACUGUGUUGCACUCUGCCAACAGCUGUAGCUCCUCUGCUGGCCUCUAACAAUACAGUGGCUACUUACAUAUGUACAAGGAUGUACUGUAGGAUGCCUGAAGCUGACGGCCUAACUCAUCUGUUAGAGCCUAAGAGUUGUUAAGUUGCUGCAUUCAGGAAAUCGUAACAUCCACGGUAAAUUUCAGAAGCAAAACAUCCACAAACCUGAAUUAUGCUUUUUAUGGACCCAAGUGACAUUUGUGUUUAUUGCAACAUAUACAUUUGUAAUAAAUACAAUCUUAGCAUUUUCUUACACCUGUUGGUGUAACACAUUACUUCCAUUUUGGUAAGCAUUACAUUUUGUUGUAAAAGGACCUUUCCUUUGACAGCUGUUAUACAGAUGUACAACAUGAACAACUCAUUGAAAUGGUGUAAUUUUCAGUAAUGAGAGAGAAAUAUAUACAUAAAUCCAAACCCUGAAGCUACACUAUAUACAUUAUACUUACAGUAUAUACACACAUACAAUUUUAUGUACAUAUAAUAUCAUAAAUAUUGAAAAAUAGGUUUAGGCUUAAUGGAUUAAUGUUUUAUAAAUAACAUAUUACACUUAUGACUGAAAUAUCAUGGAAGACAGUAAUGUCUAACUGAGGUGACAGAACAGUGGUUUAAUACUGAAGCUGCUCUUUCAGGUCAUUUGUUAUGUAGGCAACUUUAGACAGACAGGUUUCCAAAAACAAACACAACCAAAAAAAAAAACCCAACCAACCAAAAACAUACAUUUGAAACCAACCCAGCUAAGUGGAACUCAACUGUUGCAGGUGGAGAGCCAGCCAUCAAGUAAUACAACGCUUAAUACAAAAUCCAGGAAUUGCUACAUUAAAAGAAUUAGGUGACAUGUGAUAACAGCAUUAUGAGGUGCCAUCACAAAGAUCUUUCUCCUCUCCAGCUGCAGAGAGGGACUGCGUAGUAACCUCCCAUUCUUUUCUCUCCUAAGGUUCCGAGAGAAAGAAGAUUAUUAUUUUCUUAAAAAGCUGGCAAGGGAAGUGCUUCAUCCCUUAUGUGCUACAAAUUGCUCAAAGGUAGAUAUUUUAAUCCUCUUCAGUUGUUCUAUGUUUGCAGAGGAAGAAGAAAAGCUGCCAGAGUAGAGAGGCAUGUGCUCAGCACUCCUGUAUAUCAGGUAUCAUGGGAUAGUUACCAUGGAUGUAAAGUACCUGAGGCAGAGAAGUACCUAAGGAGCUUUAUAGUCAGUGCUGACUUCAGGAUCGUUCAUCGCCAGUUGAGUACCACCAAACGAAUGAUACGAACAACACAAAAGAAAUCGAACUUCUCAUUACGGUUUACAUUACAGAUGUAGCAACCAGCACUUAUAGCCAUGCAGAAGUAUCAGUACAAAAUACCUGCAGUUUUUUUCAUGGAUUUUAAACGGCUGGGCAGAGCUUGAUGUUAUCUGCCAAACAAUGACUGUAAUCUAGAUUUGUUCCUGACCGAUUCUACAAGAGCAAAAAAAAAGUCUCAGGCACUGUAUUAUCAAUGGAUUACAGGGCCCUACUUGUUCCCUCCGAGAAAUGCUGAGUGGAACGUCGUAAAUCAGACUUUUACAACAUCAUGUUAGAUGAAGACAACUGACCACAUUGCCAUGAUUAUUUCAUUAGUAAUCUCUAUCUAGGCUUUUGUACCUAAUAUUGUGUUUGAGAACCUCUUGUAAGCCAAGUACGCUGUUACAUAAGUGUUAUUUCUCUUCACCCUGGGAUAAGAAUGAAAGAGUAAACAUGCACUAGAAACGAAACAGCUAUCACAACCAUACAGCAUCUGUUUCAUCAGCUAGCUAGCUAGGGCUCAUAAAAAGCUUACCUAUUUCUGAUGCAAACAAGUAUGAGAUGACUAUCCAGUCUAUGAGGUUAUCUUUAAUACUACGAUACACUAUAAA